Molecule: ribosomal RNA, 465 nt
Filed under: uncultured bacterium
Lineage: Bacteria
Description: partial 16S ribosomal RNA
Rfam family: Bacterial small subunit ribosomal RNA
Source: RNAcentral
AUGAACGCUGGCGGCGUGCUUAAUACAUGCAAGUCGAACGAAGCUCCUUAUCUUCGGACGAGGAGUCUUAGUGGCGAACGGGUGCGUAACGCGUUGGUAACCUGCCCCAAAGAGGGGGAUAACAGUUCGAAAGGACUGCUAAUACUCCAUACGGUCAUCAGGGUUAGAUACUUGAUGAUUAAAGGAGUAAUCCGCUUUGGGAGGGGCCUGCGUCCCAUCAGCUAGUUGGUAGGGUAACGGCCUACCAAGGCUAUGACGGGUAGGGGACCUGAGAGGGUGGCCCCCCACAAUGGAACUGAAACACGGUCCAUACACCUACGGGUGGCAGCAGUAGGGAAUAUUAGAAAUGGACGAAAGUCUGAUCUAGCAACACCGCGUGUGCGAAGAAGGCCUUCGGGUCGUAAAGCACUUUUUGGAAGGAAUAGGAAGGAAUGUACUUCCAGAAUAAGUCUCGGCUAACUACGU